CCCUCCUCUUUUCUUUCUUCUUUUCUCUUCCAUUCUUCUUCCUUCUUCUCUGUUCUACCCGCCUGAACACACAGAGAGAUUGAGAGUGAGAGAGAGCCGAGUAAGAGGGAGAGCUGAGAGAGAGAUUCAGGGAGAUUGAGAGGGAAAGAGAGACUGAGAGACCGAGAGAUCGAGAGAGAGAGCCGGGAGCCGAAACCCGCGACCCGUCGAGCAGUGCACAGAGACGACGAACGGCGGUUCCCGUGGCGAUUCCGGCGAACCAAAGCCGAAAUCCGACAAUUUCCGGCGGAAUCCAGGAGCCGUGACCCGCAAACCCGCUAGACCCACGAGAGAGAACCCAGGCGGUUUGUGUACCCGUGAACCAACCCGAACCUUCCGGAGGUCCGAUCCUCCAUUUCUGGCGGCCAGAAGUCGAUUUCCAGCGGGCUAAGGUGCUCUAGCCGAUCCACGAAGACUCGUAACCCAGAACCCAUGCAACCCGUGACCCGUACCCGUGUGACCCAAUGGCUUGAAGGCUAGGCUUCCGGCAAAUUUUUCGGCGGGUCAGUGAUGUUUUCCGGCGAUUCUAGCUCACUGAUUCCAGUGGAUUGGCUAUGAAAAUCCUUAGGAUCGAGUUAUAAUUGGAGACUUCAAUGGGUUCUCCAAUGUAGAGUUCGAGUUGGAGUCUAAUGCAGCCAUGAUGAUGUUUCUUUGGCUGCAGGUACUUCGGUAUAGUUGAGGGGUUGGUAGCAGUAUACUUGGGAUAUUAUGACCGAAGCUCGCCGGGACAGUUGUAAUUGUCGGACCACGGGUUGUCCACUAUUUUAUAGGUUUGGUAUGGCUUGUGACGUUUGUGUCACUAAUUCUUUGUUAAGCCAUUAUUGUUAUGUAAUGAUUGUGUUAAUAAAGACUUAAACAGAUAGAGGUUAAAUGGCUCAAUGUUGUAAUUAAGUUGUGAUAGAUGUAUAAGUUGUAAUUUCCGCUAUUCAGAUUUAUGUUUUCCGCUGCA
Alnus glutinosa is the source of this 988-nucleotide long non-coding RNA. RefSeq lists it as uncharacterized. The transcript has 3 exons. NCBI's taxonomy places the organism in Eukaryota, Viridiplantae, Streptophyta, Magnoliopsida, Fagales, Betulaceae. The record is from RefSeq and is a predicted model, not a curated record.